GAUGAACGCUAGCUACAGGCUUAACACAUGCAAGUCGCGGGGCAGCAUGGGGGUUGCUUGCCAUCCCCGAUGGCGACCGGCGCACGGGUGAGUAACGCGUAUCCAACCUGCCCUUCACCACGGGAUAACCCGGCGAAAGUCGGACUAAUACCGUAUGUUGUCCAUUGACGGCAUCCGAUUUGGACGAAAGGCUUGGCGGUGAGGGAUGGGGAUGCGUCCGAUUAGCCAGACGGCGGGGUAACGGCCCACCGUGGCUACGAUCGGUAGGGGUUCUGAGAGGAAGGUCCCCCACACUGGAACUGAGACACGGUCCAGACUCAUACGGGAGGCAGCAGUGAGGAAUAUUGGUCAAUGGGCGUAAGCCUGAACCAGCCAAGUAGCGUGCAGGAUGACGGCCCUAUGGGUUGUAAACUGCUUUUAUGCGGGGAUAAAGUGGCCCACGUGUGGGCUUUUGCAGGUACCGCAUGAAUAAGGACCGGCUAAUUCCGUG
This 490-nucleotide ribosomal RNA is filed under the name uncultured bacterium. RNAcentral's name for it is "partial 16S ribosomal RNA". It matches the Rfam family "Bacterial small subunit ribosomal RNA", at positions 28 to 507 of the family's 1533-position model. The record is from RNAcentral.